UGGGGAAUUUUGGACAAUGGGCGAAAGCCUGAUCCAGCAAUGCCGCGUGUGUGAAGAAGGCCUUCGGGUUGUAAAGCACUUUUGUCCGGAAAGAAAUCCUUGGCUCUAAUACAGUCGGGGGAUGACGGUACCGGAAGAAUAAGCACCGGCUAACUACGUGCCAGCAGCCGCGGUAAUACGUAGGGUGCAAGCGUUAAUCGGAAUUACUGGGCGUAAGGCGUGCGCAGGCGGUUUGCUAAGACCGAUGUGAAAUCCCCGGGCUCAACCUGGGAACUGCAUUGGUGACUGGCAGGCUAGAGUAUGGCAGAGGGGGGUAGAAUUCCACGUGUAGCAGUGAAAUGCGUAGAGAUGUGGAGGAAUACCGAUGGCGAAGGCAGCCCCCUGGGGCCAAUACUGACGCUCAUGCACGAAAGCGUGGGGGAGCAAACAGGAUUAGAUACCCUGGGUAGUCCACGCCCAUAAACGAUGUCAACUAGUUGUUGGGGGACUUCAUUUUCCUUAGUAACGUAGCUAACGCGUGAAGUUGACCGCCUGGGGAGUACGGUCGCAAGAUUAAAACUCAAAGGAAUUGACGGGGUC
RNAcentral lists this ribosomal RNA (579 nucleotides) under uncultured bacterium. RNAcentral describes it as "partial 16S ribosomal RNA". It matches the Rfam family "Bacterial small subunit ribosomal RNA", at positions 355 to 920 of the family's 1533-position model. The record is from RNAcentral.